UAGUCAUAUGCUUGUCCUAAAGAUUAAGCCAUGCAUGUCCAAGUAUAAACCUUUAUACGGUGAAACUGCGAAUGGCUCAUUAUAUCAGUUAUAAUUUACAUGAUGAUGACUUGCUACAUGGAUAACCGUGGUAAUUCUAGAGCUAAUACAUGCAAAGGGCCCGCGAGGGUGGCAUUUAUUAGAUGGAACCAGCGAAAGAUGGUGAAUCAUGAUAACUGAGCGGAUCGCAUGGCCUCGAGCUGGCGACGCUUCAUUCAAAUUUCUGCCCUAUCAACUUUGGAUGGUAGGAUAGAGGCCUACCAUGGUGGUGACGGGUGACGGGGAAUUGGGGUUCGAUUCUGGAGAGGGAGCCUGAGAGAUGGCUACCACUUCCAAGGAAGGCAGCAGGCGCGCAAAUUACCCAAUCCCGACACGGGGAGGUAGUGACAGUAAAUAACGAUGCGGGGCCGUAUGGUCUUGCAAUUGGAAUGAGGGGAGGAUAAAGAGAAGGUCGAGUAACGAUU
RNAcentral lists this ribosomal RNA (503 nucleotides) under uncultured eukaryote. RNAcentral's name for it is "bacterial SSU rRNA". It matches the Rfam family "Eukaryotic small subunit ribosomal RNA", at positions 21 to 549 of the family's 1831-position model. The record is from RNAcentral.